GGAGUGGGUAUUGUACCGCGUGUAGGGGGAGAAUUCCUACGGGUGGGUUUCCGAAUAUUGUGUUCAACUUUUUGAAAGCAGCUCGUGACCCCGAAACUGCAUCCCCCGGAGCCGUGGACCCCGGCGCCGGGCGGGCGGGUGAACCCAGUCAGUCCCCUCCCCAUCCCCGCAACCCCCGCCUCCGGGUGGGGGCGACCUGGCCUCUCCCAGCCGCCGCCGGGCCAGCCCCGGAGGGAGGCUGCGCAGGUGCUGCGGGCUCUGCCGAAAGCGCUGAAAUAAAAAACCAUCGCCACUCAGGGAGAACUGAGGCAAGUGGGGCUGAGACUCUGGCGACACCCCCGCCUUCCAGCCUCUGCCCCAGCGUCAGCCGCCCUGCUGCACCCUGCCUGUUCGGGUGGCGGCCGCGGCUCCGGAGCGCGAAGUAGGGCACAGAGCUGCGGCGAGGCGUGCUGCUUUGUGCACCGGGACCCGGUGGGGCGGGUGGCAGCCCCCAGCUGUCCAAGCCUCCCAGCAGAGCCGAGCUCGGCGCCGCACACCGAGCCCACCUCGCAGUCCAGCCGUCGCUAGCGCCUCUCGGCUCUGGACUGAAGCUCUACUCCCACCGCCUGGAGCCGGGAAAGCCAACCGGUCUGCAGGCCUCCGGGAGAGGAGGAUCCGAAGGGCUGGGCCAGCUGCACCUACUUGGCCUCGCUCGGCUCUAAACGGCAGACCCAGGAGGCCUGGGGAUGGUUUGCAAUGUGGGGGCAACGCCCCUUCCGGCUCCCAGGACGUCCGGAGGCGGGGGCUGGCCGGGUGGCCCACAGUCUGGGCCUCCCCACAAGCUGCAAACUGAGGCACUCGGCGCGGGCGGCCGGGGAGGGCUCAGGGGAGCGCAGCACGCAGGCGGGGAGGCAGCGAAACCCUUCAAGGACCCCGAUUACUUUCCUUUGAAAAACAACAACAACAACUGCUCUCUCCCCGCACCCCCGCCCCCCGCCUUAGCCUCGGGGGACUGGCGCUCCAAGCAAUUGUCGCCCUGGACAGUAAACACAGCUCAGUUGCCUCAACUUUCUCCCUGCAUAAAAGUUCCUGGCGUGCGGGGAAAUUUGAAUAUUUGAUCAGCCCCUUUGAGUGACCCUCAUUAGUCCGGCGCCCUGCUAAGGUCGGGCAUUGCAAGAAAGCUGCUGGGCCCGGCAUUUGUACGCCUUGUUAGCGCAGCUUAAUGAAGCCGCCCGGACGGCUCAAAGACGGCCUCGGGGCCAGUGGCGCGCACCUCUCGGCACCCUGCUCUGCCUAAUGAGCCCCGCCGCCCGCUAAAGGCCCCUCCACCCCCCACAUUCUCAAACAAGUGAAGUUUGGCUUCGUCUUGAACCACAGCACCUCCCACUGCCAGGCCCAAGAGGGUGGGCACACACCCAGCCUAGUUGCCUGCGGUGACCCAGCCCCAAGAGAGGGGCUGAAGACUUGGGAGAUGUGAGCCAGACUGGUGGGGGGGUGGGGAUGGCAGUGGAGGGAGAGGCUAUUGCUGCCUCAGGAUCCAGCCCAGGGAGUGCACUGCCAACUUCUCCCAAGAGGACCAAUUGCAAAUCAAUUAGUUACUCCAGUUCCUUAAAGGUGAAUCUGGACUAAUGUUGAGGUGCUUGAGGAUCAGCCUUCCAUCCUCCUGCCACCUCAAGUUCCCUUGGUUUCCUCUGCCCAGAGGCCACACGCUGUUUCCCAAGGAUCCCCUUCUGAACAGCCAGACCUGGUGUACCAGGACUUGGAUUUGAGAAAGGGUGGGCAGCUCCCCUCCCUAACCCAUCAUUGCCUCCACCAUCCACAGAGCCCAGGCACAGGUUAUAACAGGUGGCAGUAGGGAAGACAGGGACCACAGCCUGUCCUGCAUUCCCCCUCAGCAGAGGGAUCCCUUCUCUGGCUUCUAGUCCCUGGGAGGCCUGAAGAAAGUGCUUUAGGAAGGACCACCCUGCAAGACUGGCCUGGCAGCCUGGCAGAGAGGCAGAGAGCCAGAGUUCUGGAAGGAAGGGAAACCGAAGCAGUCAUCUACUUCGCCUUUUCUUAGUGGGGCAGCUGACAUGGCUGGCCAGUAAAUGUAAGACACCCUCUUAGAAACUGUGCUUGAGUUCUCAGGAGGACUUCCCUUUCUGUCUCUCCUCUCCUCUGAUGCCCUUUUCCCUGGACAGUUGGAGCUCAAGGUCCCUCACUCCCUCCUUGCUUACCCAGCUCUUGGGCCCUUAAGGGUUACUUUUGGGGGGAAUUGAUGCUAUGGGCUUGGGAAGCAGGCUGCUGCCAGAUCCACACUCAGGACUUUCUGGACCCCACCCCCACCCCCAACACACACGCCCAGAAUCCCUGAGACACACAGUGGGCCUAGUCAGGUUGGUAACCUCAGGACCCCAUUCCAGGGUAAGCAUCUCCCGGAGGUCGUGGGAAGGAGCCAAAAGGCCAGGUUGGCCCUGGGAUCGAGAGAGCCCUCCAAGUCCAUCUGGUUUGCUUCUCUUCCUUUCUCUCUCCCCAGCUCCACUAGCGUGCCCUGCCCCAUUUCCCAUCCCAUAACCCCUAACUCAACCCGAAACUGGCAAUCUUCAGGCAUCACCUCUGAGCUGGGCAAAGGCGGUGCCCGGGCCUUGAUCCACCUAGAGGGCUAAAGUAAAGACAGGGAAGGGAGGGGUGGGCACUGCUGGUGAGAAAGGGGACCUGAGGCGAGGGUAGAACUCAGCCCUGUGGCCUCGAGGCCAGGCCCACCGGCUGCUCAGGGGAGGAGGCGAAGGGAGGGGGCUCGGAGUCCGCAGGCAACGGUCGGGGCAGCAGGGACCUCAGGCGUCGGUGUGGGGGGCUAGAUCGGGAGGAGAGGGGAGGGGAGGCGGGGGUCGGGGGAUCGCGCAGGGCGGAGGAGGGGUGCGGCUCUUUAAGAACCACACGGCUGGCGGGAGAGGCGCGCGGCCCGGUGCUGGUAGAACACUGACCCCAAAGGGGAUUUAGAGGGAAGAGAGUGGCCGGGCUCUGGGGUUUUGUCCGAGGGGGCCGGGAGAGGCCGAGACACAAGAAUAAGGAGCGGCCGCGGCAUGAAAGGCUGCGAGAAGCGGCAGCGCUGCUGCUCUUGACUUCUGAGCAGGGCUUAGGGAGCCUGCCCCGGCUUAAGCCGACAUGCUGGUGCUGGGCCCUGAGCGCCGAGUCCGCGAGCUCUGAGUCCCGAGUCCCGUGGAGGCGUGGGAUGAGGGGGGCAUCGGGGAACAGGGCAAAGUCUGUCUUGGCUGUACAGCCGCCUGAUCCGAGCGCGGAGCUGCGAGCCUGACCGGCCGCGUCUGGCAUGAUCAGAGAAAGAAUUUUCUUUUGCCAACUUUGGCUUUUGGUUUUGUGUGUCCACCUUGCGCAACUCCGGAGCCUGCGGACCCCAAAGGGAUUCUCAACAGGUGGCCGGUAAGUCCUUUUAAAGAAUUCUGUUUAUAUGGUCAGCCCCUCCCCGACCUUUUCCUUUUUCUCCUCCCUCUUUCCCCUUCUGCUGGCCCGGAUUCCCCUUGCUCCUCCCGCAUGCGACGCCUGAGGUGGCGGUAAGGGAAGAGGCGCCCUUCCCCUGGGGGUCUUUGGGUUCGGGGUUGCAGCCCAGGAGGCCUGGCAGGCGGCCCCCAAGGAGUUACACCCAGUACCUCCAAGUCUCGAUCACUCUUAGCUCUUUGGUCUGGGCCCUGGCGUCCUGAGAGGCGGAGGGAGAAAGAAGGCGCCGCAGCACCUCAAAAGCCGAAGUCCCCAGGAAGGGGGAUGUGGGACCCGGUGGCCGGGCAGUCUUUGUGUGGGGGUUUACGGCGGAAACAGAACUAUUCAUCUUUUAUGAGAGGCCCGGGAUGCGGCCCGGGGGAGCCCGCGCCAGCCGUACAAUAGCCGGCAAGAGAGCGCCUUAGCAGCCGGGGCAGGAGUGGGGUAGGGUGGGGUAAAUCGGGGUGGGGGAGGGGAGGGCGAGAGAAGGGGGAGGGGAAACAGAAAGGCAAAGGGGAGAAAUCCAGGGCGUCCGAGUGAAAAGUCGGGAAAUGUUCCCAGAGAACGCCAGAAACGCGCGCGCGCUUGCGGGCGCAUAGUCUCUCUGUCUCUUUUCACACACAGACACACACACACACACACACACACUCUCUCUCUCUCUCUCUCUCUCUCUCACAUGCUCACACUCAUUCCACACAGGGAGCCCACGCACGCGGUUCCUAGUCGUGCAGGGUCGCAUGCCCGGGCAUCCAAAGUGCAUGCAGAGUAAAGCCGCCCUCCCUCCUCCGAAAGCCCUCCCGCCCAGCCAUGGGCUCCCCGAUUGGGGAGCUAGGAGGGUCCCCGGGGCUGGGGCAAGGGGAGGAUCUUACCUGCGGAAAGGUAAGGGAAGCCGGGAGCACGAAGCAGCGGCGGAUAAAUAUUCAUUAGUAUGUCUCUCCUUUUAAGCCGCGCGGUGCGCUCUCUGGCUCCUAUCUCUCUUUCCCUCCCUCCCUCUGUCCUCUAGUGAGGCUCUCUCCCCCUCUCGCUCUGUCUGCCCCCCUCCCCCUUCCUGCGAACUGCCGGGUGGAUCCCAGUAUAGCUAACCUGUUGGGAAGCCUGAGCCGCGGGCAGCGCCUCCACAGCUGUUUGCUUUCGCUCUUGGGGCGCGCGUUUCCCCAUCCUCUCCCCUCUCUCCUUUUGCCCAGCCCCUCUCCCCCUCCUAAAUUACUACAUCAUUAGCUUUAUUUGGCGGGAGUGGGGGGGGGGAAGAACAGCGCAGCCAAACGCACCUCCCUAUAGCAGGGUGAAAAGCCGCUGCUCUCCGAGGCAGCUCCAAUUCCAUCCUUACCCCAGCCUCACCCAUCUCCUUGUCCCUAGCCAGUUUUGUUUCUUUUUCUUCUCUUUCCAUCUUCACUUCCGUCCUGUACCGACCCAACUCCCUCACCAUUCCGCCCUCCCCCGUCACUACCAAUACGGAUUCCAGACGGGGUCGGCAGGGAGAUGCCAAGUGGGUAGGUCCAAUAUGCCAAGGUCGGGACUCCACCCUGCCAUGGAUGUGGGAGUAGCUCUCCAGGUCCCUCUUUCCUACGUAGGUUUUUCAGCCUGACCCUUAGUGGACAUCGGGGCAGCUUGGGCCUUAGAAUCAGAGCACCAGGGCGCACAGCCAGGGCCUCAGCCCUCCAGGCCUCAGGGACCUGAGGACACAACCACCGACCGUCGUACUGACUUUCUCCCUUUCCAAACAAACUGAUCUGAGGUUAGCAGCAAGUUCGCAUCAUUCUCACGAGAAAACACAUCUACAAGAUUCUAGGAAUGCACAAGGAACCGCUUCCAGUCGCACGCGAACACGUGUACACACACCACAAGCCUCACCCCCACAGACCCGUUCCCGCUGGCCUCUGAAACAGGUAGGCGCGCGGGACCGAAAGGCUAAUUCUGAGCUGAGGAAUACAUCGCAAAACCACCCCAGGAAAUUCCUGGCCACUCUUGUUGGCCCCCAUUCUUCCAGGUUUAGGCCCCUAGGAUGCCCCAGGGACCCUGAAGGAUGACGAGGCCCCAGGGUGCUUGGGGGUGGUCCGGGACGCGAGCUCGGGCGGCCAGCUGAGCGCUGCGUGUUGCGGUAGGGGCUGGAGGAGGGGCCAAGGGAGGCGGGCCCAGGCCAAUUCCAAGUUACAGCUGCUCCUGGGAGGCCAAGGAGAGUUUUGCCCCAAAACGUGUAUACCACUCGCCCCGAGACGCCACGACCUCCCCCAGACAGAGCCCCAGGGCUCAUUCAACCUCGAGGUGGCUUGGGUGAUGGGUGCAGUCGAGAGCCAGGAGGCGACUUCGAGACCACCGACCGCCCAUUCAGCCCAGCCCAGCCACGGUUCACCAGGAGAGGUCCUAGAGGAUGGUCCUAUCUUUCCCAAAGAAUGACGGGGCGCAGGAUCGCUCCUUGUCCCGAAAGGUUAAGAAAUUGGGCUGAUGAAGGUAUUUAAAAGAGGUCUAGAGCGCCCUGGGGCCGAAAGCCGUGUCAACCUCACACUCCACCCAAAGUCCCGCGUUUGCACGUGCACACCUCCUCCUCCUCCUCCCCAUGUAGACCCAGGGGGUCGCGCACAUAUGAGCUCAGACUCAAGCUGAGUCACCUGACUAUGCAUGGAACAUACAGGCAAUCGUACUCGAAUACAUACGGGAGAAUUAAAGGAACACUAACAGAAGAAUUUGAGGAAUAAAGAAGUGUCCACGGGCAUAAUUAUUUGAACGCACGGGUGCACAUUCAGUUGUCCAGACGCAGACAAAAGUCACAGUGCCCGCGAGGAGUGACCCCAACCACAUGGGCAGAUAGAUAGGAAGCCGCGACCGGGGAGAGCCGGUCCAAUGAGGACGCCGGCCGGCCGCAAGGCCAAGGGGGCUUCCUGCUAGAGGGACGUUGGCUCGGAGGGAGAAACUUUGUUGAGCCGACUGGGUGAAUGAAAGGUUUCAGGUCAAGUCUUGGCCACUAGAAAGAAGCAAGGCCUCAUCCACCCAGAGGCAACCUUUUUGCCUUCCUCUCAGCUCUGUUGGAGAUACCCAGAAAAGGGCCAUCCGGGAAUGAUUCAUUUUGACCGAGAUUGUUUUUAUUGUUUACUUCUUAAGAUUUUUUACUUAGAGGAUUGCAUUCUUAAGGAGGAUUUGGGUGGAGUGCAUACAAGUUCUCACUCACUACUGGGAGAUUCAUAAUUCUUUAUGGGAACAUUUAGCUCUAACCGUGGCCUGAGAAGGUGGAGGGCCCUUAUUUUGCCCCUUGCACCCUUCUUAUCCUAAACUUGAUCAUUCAAAAGGAUGCUCGCCCUCCUGCCCCCAUCUUCAUCCCAAUAUCCUGUAUAUCAAAUACGUUUACAAAAGAACACACUUCAAAGUAAACCAAAUUACAUAGUUUAUUUAAAAACAUUUUGUGUGUGUGAUAUAUGGGGAAGUUCUCACCCCCGGUUGCGCUGUCUGUGGCUGAGCACGUUUUCACAGUGGAGCUGGAGGGUUGCAGAGAGGGGUUUCCAGAGGGGCUCUUGGGCGAGUCCUGGGAAACUACUCUAGGCAGGCUUGAUUUUAGCGUGAGCUCCCCCUGCCUAACCAGUUCUAGUGGCUACCUACAGGAUUCCUGUAGAAGAGGCACCCCUGGAGCAGGGGUGCCCUCCCUUCCACUUCACCUCCCUUCCCAACUUUCUCUCUUUUGAGCACAUGUUCUGAGCCUCCCUCUCUCGUCUAAAGUGGAGUGUAAGUCCGAGAAGAUUCAUCUAGACAAAGGAGGAGGAAAAAAGAACUUUCUGGGCCAGCAAGUCGGAUGACCACCCUCCAAGGGGCAGAGGAGGGUCCAUUUUGUGAAGAAGAAAUGAACCACCCGGAAAACGCCACAGGAGGACAUGUUUCUGCAGAUGUAGUUGCCCUAGAAACAGAAGACUAUCGGGGUGCGAGUUGGGAAGAAUUUCUUCUCUUUUGGGGGCAAACACUAGGUCCUUUUCUUUUUUAGAUACAGUUAAUUCCUGGAAAUUUUAGCGAGUUUGUUCUUGUGGACGUUUUGAACAAUAAAGGGUGAAAAUCA
This is a non-coding RNA of Callithrix jacchus (white-tufted-ear marmoset), 7486 nucleotides long. The record is from RefSeq and is a predicted model, not a curated record. NCBI's taxonomy places the organism in Eukaryota, Metazoa, Chordata, Mammalia, Primates, Cebidae.